Molecule: ribosomal RNA, 594 nt
Filed under: uncultured Alphaproteobacteria bacterium
Lineage: Bacteria; Pseudomonadati; Pseudomonadota; Alphaproteobacteria
Description: bacterial SSU rRNA
Rfam family: Bacterial small subunit ribosomal RNA
Source: RNAcentral
UUAGUGGCGCACGGGUGCGUAACGCGUGGGAAUCUGCCCUUAGGUUCGGAAUAACAGCUGGAAACGGCUGCUAAUACCGGAUGAUGACGAAAGUCCAAAGAUUUAUCGCCUGAGGAUGAGCCCGCGUUGGAUUAGGUAGUUGGUGGGGUAAAGGCCUACCAAGCCGACGAUCCAUAGCUGGUCUGAGAGGAUGAUCAGCCACACUGGGACUGAGACACGGCCCAGACUCCUACGGGAGGCAGCAGUGGGGAAUAUUGGACAAUGGGCGAAAGCCUGAUCCAGCAAUGCCGCGUGAGUGAUGAAGGCCCUAGGGUUGUAAAGCUCUUUUACCCGGGAAGAUAAUGACUGUACCGGGAGAAUAAGCCCCGGCUAACUCCGUGCCAGCAGCCGCGGUAAUACGGAGGGGGCUAGCGUUGUUCGGAAUUACUGGGCGUAAAGCGCACGUAGGCGGCUUUGUAAGUCAGAGGUGAAAGCCUGGAGCUCAACUCCAGAACUGCCUUUGAGACUGCAUCGCUUGAAUCCAGGAGAGGUCAGUGGAAUUCCGAGUGUAGAGGUGAAAUUCGUAGAUAUUCGGAAGAACACCAGUGGCGAAGG